Molecule: ribosomal RNA, 442 nt
Filed under: uncultured bacterium
Lineage: Bacteria
Description: bacterial SSU rRNA
Rfam family: Bacterial small subunit ribosomal RNA
Source: RNAcentral
ACUCCUACGGGAGGCAGCAGUAGGGAAUAUUGGGCAAUGGAUGCAAGUCUGACCCAGCCAUGCCGCGUGCCGGAUGAAGGCCCUCAGGGUUGUAAACGGCUUUUAUUCGGGAAGAAGAGCAGGGAUGCGUCCUUGUGUGACGGUACCGAAUGAAUAAGCACCGGCUAACUCCGUGCCAGCAGCCGCGGUAAUACGGAGGGUGCGAGCGUUGUCCGGAUUUAUUGGGUUUAAAGGGUGCGUAGGUGGCUUAAUAAGUCAGUGGUGAAAUACAGCCGCUCAACGGUUGAGGUGCCAUUGAUACUGUUAAGCUUGAAACAAGUGGAGGCUGCCGGAAUGGAUGGUGUAGCGGUGAAAUGCAUAGAUAUCAUCCAGAACACCGAUUGCGAAGGCAGGUGGCUACGUUUGAUUUGACACUGAGGCACGAAAGCAUGGGGAGCAAACA